AUGCAUUAGUUUGUACCAACAUUCCAAAGGAAUAACACUGGAAGCAUUAGGAUCUCAAGGUAUUAAAAGUCCGAAGAUCAAUAGUAUGGAUAACCAGAGCAAAGCAAAUAUAGGAUGGUCGAUGUUGGUAUUCCUUCAUUAAUAAUUUGCAAUGGGAUAAGCGAACAUAACAGUUUAAAGAAAAUCAACCUUGCCUUUAUCUACAAAAAUUAUUAAUGUUACAAAAAACGUCCGCACUACAAGGUAAACAGUUUUACUAGCAAGAAACAAAUUUCUCAACUGAUGAUCAAUCUACAUUAUCCAUUAAGUGUGUUUAAAAAAAAUAUUAUCAGGAAAAAUCAUGUCUUAGAAUGAGUAAUACCCACAGGAAAAGAAAGGGUACAGGGUAUGCUCUCCAAAAAAAACUUCAGUGAAACUAGAUAUACUUGUAAAACUUGUUGUGUAUCCCUGUAUACAUAUAGA
Molecule: long non-coding RNA, 462 nt
Organism: Hylaeus volcanicus
Lineage: Eukaryota; Metazoa; Arthropoda; Insecta; Hymenoptera; Colletidae
Exons: 3
Source: RefSeq, a predicted model, not a curated record